AAGCCCAGCCAUGGAAUGAUGAGGUAGAGGAGCACUGAAGCAGAGGACACAGCUAGGGUGGGAAGCAGCUGGCACAUGGGGAUAGCUGCAGUGUGGUGGGAGAGGAGAGCGGGGAAGCUGGGCCUUAUUAGGUUUAAUCCACAAGCCAGGCUGGAACAGCCAUCUCUGCAGUCAGCUUUAUGGAGUGCAGAAAAUCUAUGUCAGCAGCAAGUUACACAGCCGCAAUGAGAAGUUGCUAUUUGCUGCGUGCUCUCUGCACAGGCCUGGCCACCCGUGAACCAGCAACACCAUGGAAGGCAGCAUCCACAGGAAUCUGUACUGUGACGGGCAGAAAGGAGGCUGAUUUCCUACCUCUCGAACAGACUGGGAAAUAUCUUCUGAUUGUUGAAGAAGACACCAUCAACACAUUCACUAUCAGGAAAGUAUGGCACCUCUAGAUCAUUCUACCGGCACUGAUGACGUCUCCCCCAACAACAUUUCCACAGAAGAAUUCCUCAAGAUUCCUCAGAACUUCUGGCUCCUACUUCUCUAGCUUUGUUUGGGUAAUUUCUUUCAUACUGAGAAAGAUAAAUUCAAUAAAAUCAU
This 585-nucleotide long non-coding RNA is filed under the name Homo sapiens (human). Its description in RNAcentral is "HSALNT0395408". The record is from RNAcentral. Lineage: Eukaryota; Metazoa; Chordata; Mammalia; Primates; Hominidae.